RNAcentral lists this ribosomal RNA (332 nucleotides) under uncultured bacterium. Its description in RNAcentral is "bacterial SSU rRNA". It matches the Rfam family "Bacterial small subunit ribosomal RNA", at positions 568 to 898 of the family's 1533-position model. The record is from RNAcentral.
UGUGCAGGCGGGUGGUCAAGUGGUGUAUGAAAUCGUCCGGCUCAACCGGGCCAUGGUAUGCCAGACUGACUGCCUGGAGUGCGGGAGAGGGGCGUGGAAUUCCGGGUGUAGUGGUGAAAUGCGUAGAGAUCCGGAGGAACCCCAGAGGCGAAGGCGGCGCCCUGGCCCGUCACUGACGCUCAGACACGACAGCAUGGGGAGCGAACGGGAUUAGAAACCCCGGUAGUCCAUGCCGUAAACGAUGCCAACUAGGCGCUGGGGGACUCAACCCCCUCGGUGCCGUAGCCAACGCGCUAAGUUGGCCGCCUGGGGAGUACGACCGCAAGGUUAAA